Molecule: ribosomal RNA, 341 nt
Filed under: Lecidea albofuscescens
Lineage: Eukaryota; Fungi; Ascomycota; Lecanoromycetes; Lecideales; Lecideaceae
Description: partial small subunit ribosomal RNA
Rfam family: Bacterial small subunit ribosomal RNA
Source: RNAcentral
AUAGUACUAAUUUACUAGAGUUACUUGUGAGGGGGCAUAAAGGUACUGUCGGUGUAGAGAUAAAAUUCUGUGAUACCCUUUUUUUUACAAAAACUAAUGGCACGAAUUUAGGCGAAAGCAUCCCCUUAUGUGAUAACUGACGUUGAGGGACGAAGGCUUGGUGUAGCGAACAGGAUUAGAUACCCCAAUAGUCCAAGCAGAAAAUGAUGAGUGUCAUAGAUUAGAUUUUUUUUUUAUUCUAUAAAUGAAAAUGUAAGCACUCCACCUUAAGAGUAAUUUGGCAACAUUGGAACUGAAAUCAUUAGACCGUUUCUGAAACCAGUAGUGAAGUAUGUUGUUCA